RNAcentral lists this transfer RNA (72 nucleotides) under Phrynosoma platyrhinos (Desert horned lizard). RNAcentral describes it as "tRNA-OTHER". The record is from RNAcentral. Lineage: Eukaryota; Metazoa; Chordata; Lepidosauria; Squamata; Phrynosomatidae.
GCCAGCAUGGCAUAGUGGUUUGAGUAUUGGACUAGGACUCUGGAGACCAGGGUUUGAUUCCCAACUUGGUCA